GGUCUGUUGGAGAAGUGGUUUUAACUCGUAUGCCUCUCAAGCAUAUAUUCACGGGUUCGAAUCCCGUACAGAUCA
Molecule: transfer RNA, 75 nt
Filed under: Mycoplasma sp. CAG:776
Lineage: Bacteria; Bacillati; Mycoplasmatota; Mollicutes; Mycoplasmatales; Mycoplasmataceae
Rfam family: tRNA
About the family: Transfer RNA (tRNA) molecules are approximately 80 nucleotides in length. Their secondary structure includes four short double-helical elements and three loops (D, anti-codon, and T loops). Further hydrogen bonds mediate the characteristic L-shaped molecular structure. tRNAs have two regions of fundamental functional importance: the anti-codon, which is responsible for specific mRNA codon recognition, and the 3' end, to which the tRNAs corresponding amino acid is attached (by aminoacyl-tRNA synthetases). tRNAs cope with the degeneracy of the genetic code in two manners: having more than one tRNA (with a specific anti-codon) for a particular amino acid; and 'wobble' base-pairing, i.e. permitting non-standard base-pairing at the 3rd anti-codon position.
Source: Rfam by way of RNAcentral